RNAcentral lists this long non-coding RNA (1710 nucleotides) under Sus scrofa (pig). Its description in RNAcentral is "lncRNA (ENSSSCG00055026942.1)". The record is from RNAcentral. Lineage: Eukaryota; Metazoa; Chordata; Mammalia; Artiodactyla; Suidae.
UUUUUUUUUUUUUUUUUUUUUUGCUUUUUAGGGCUGCAUCCACAGCCUAUGGAAGUUCCCAGGCUAGGGGUUGAAUCAGAGCUGUAGCCGCAGGCCUAUGCCACAGCCACAGCAACACAGGGUCUGAGCCGCAUCUUUGACCUAUCCCACAGCUCUUGGCAACUCAAGAUCUUUAACCCACUGAGCAAGGCCAGGGAUCGAACCCAUACCCUCAUGGCCGCUAGUGGGGUACAUUACCGCUGAGCCACUAUGGGAACUCCAGGAUCACUUUUUGACCUACCUGUCUUCUAUAUUCUUGAGACAUGUUUCUCUUUGCUUCUAUGCUGAAAACUCCAUCUUGUCCUGCUUUACUUUACCCCAUAUUCCUGCUUGAAAAACAGUUGCAGUGCUGGUAAAUGACUUAAGCUUAAGAACAAAGACCUAAAGGCAUAAGUUAUUCAUAGGGUCAGCUGAAUGAGGACAUAAUGUGUUGGUCUAGGCACGAGGGACCUGUGCAGAUUGGCAUGCCAUUUGCACAAGCAUGAUAUGUCUUCUAAAAAAUAAGAGGAAGAUGAGCCUCAUGGCCCCAAGGGGUUUAUGAGGUUAGCAGGAUAUGCAUUAGCAAGGAGAACUGAGGAGCAAACCUAGGUAAUUGGGGUUGCUGCAGAUAGGCAUGCCCUCUGCAGAAGCACAAUGGUGAUUCUCUAGAAUGCUAUGCAUACAUAGCUGAGCUUCCUCAAUGCUAACGAUUGUUAAAGGUCAGGAAAAAAAGCUUAAUCAGCAACCAGCUAUGUGACUUUUAAAAUAACUUAAAAAAACCUAUAUCCUGCACCUACAACUCCCUCCUCACUUGAAGUCAUCCUCAAGAGCACAAUCAAAGCAGUGUGGUUUCUUGAGGCUGUGCUCUUGGUCCCUGAGACCUUGAGUCCCCCGGUUCCCACCUUUACUUAAGAUAAAUGUCUCUGUAUCUUGUUUUAUGUUAACUUUCUUCCUUAAGUUAAACAGCACCCGUUCUUCAGCCCCAACCUGCUGAGCUGGUUUCGGCACUAUAUGACAAAAUUAUUUUCAGUAAUCAUAAUGAAUAAAGAUAAUGGCCAGAAAAAUGCAGACACUGAAAGUUCUCUUUCACUCAACUCCAUAUGAAUAAUCAUGAAGUGAUAUUAGAGUAAGAAAAAUGAGAAUACAUGAAUUCAUGUAUUGGAUUAUAUUAAUUUUCUAAAAAAGGAACUAAUGUACCUACAUAUUGGUUUGUUACAGUGAUAGAUAAUCAUAUUUGCUUCUUUGAGCCUUAACUUCUAAGAAUGUCAGGAACUUUGCUGAAAGUGAUCUUCACAUAUAUAUGUUCUAUAAAGAAUACAGCCAGAUUUGUCAAUCUAUCCCUGCAUAGUUGAUGGAAAAACAUCUUUUAUUAAUUUCAAUUUAGAAAUGUUCUUUCAAACAAAGCCAAAGACAUACAAAUAUCUUGGGAAAGUAGUAGACAUAAAAGAUAAAUUUGUCAGAGAUUCUUGGAGUUCCCAUCGUGGCUCAGCGGAAACGAAUCUGACUACCAUCUACGAGGACGCAGGUUCAAUCCCUGGCCUCACUCAGUGGGUUAAGUAUCCGGCGUUGCUGUGAGCUGUGUGUAGGUUGCAGAUGAGGCUCAGUUCUGGCAUUGCUGUGGCUGUGGUGUAGGCCAGCAGGUGUAGCUCUGAUUUGACCCCUAGCCUGUGAACUUCCAUAUGCUACAGCCCU